Molecule: ribosomal RNA, 305 nt
Filed under: uncultured bacterium
Lineage: Bacteria
Description: bacterial SSU rRNA
Rfam family: Bacterial small subunit ribosomal RNA
Source: RNAcentral
UCCUACGGGAGGCAGCAGUGAGGAAUAUUGGUCAAUGGGCGAGAGCCUGAACCAGCCAAGUCGCGUGAGGGAAGACGGUCCUAUGGAUUGUAAACCUCUUUUGCCGGGGAGCAAAAGGCGGUACGCGUACCGCAUCGAGAGUACCCGGAGAAAAAGCAUCGGCUAACUCCGUGCCAGCCGCGGUAAUACGGAGGAUGCGAGCGUUAUCCGGAUUUAUUGGGUUUAAAGGGUGCGCAGGCGGCGAGUUAAGUCAGCGGUAAAAUUUCGGGGCUCAACCCCGAUAAGCCGUUGAAACUGGCUUGCUA